This 428-nucleotide ribosomal RNA is filed under the name Cosmospora butyri. RNAcentral's name for it is "partial large subunit ribosomal RNA". It matches the Rfam family "Eukaryotic large subunit ribosomal RNA", at positions 116 to 555 of the family's 3401-position model. Lineage: Eukaryota; Fungi; Ascomycota; Sordariomycetes; Hypocreales; Nectriaceae. The record is from RNAcentral.
UGAAAUCUGGCCCUCGGGUCCGAGUUGUAAUUUGUAGAGGAUGCUUUUGGUGCGGUGCCUUCCGAGUUCCCUGGAACGGGACGCCAUAGAGGGUGAGAGCCCCGUCUGGUUGGACACCAAGCCUCUGUAAAGCUCCUUCGACGAGUCGAGUAGUUUGGGAAUGCUGCUCUAAAUGGGAGGUAUAUGUCUUCUAAAGCUAAAUACCGGCCAGAGACCGAUAGCGCACAAGUAGAGUGAUCGAAAGAUGAAAAGCACUUUGAAAAGAGGGUUAAAUAGUACGUGAAAUUGUUGAAAGGGAAGCGCUUGUGACCAGACUUGAGCCCGGUUAAUCAUCCAGCCUUCUGGCUGGUGCACUUGGCCGGCUCAGGCCAGCAUCAGUUCGGCGCGGGGGAUAAAGGCUUCGGGAAUGUGGCUCCUCCGGGAGUGUU